UACGUAGGGUGCAAGCGUUCAUCGGAAUUACUGGGCGUAAAGCGUGCGCAGGCGGUUUUGUAAGUCUGUCGUGAAAGCCCCGGGCUCAACCUGGGAAUUGCGAUGGAGACUGCAAGGCUUGAAUCUGGCAGAGGGGGGUAGAAUUCCACGUGUAGCAGUGAAAUGCGUAGAGAUGUGGAGGAACACCGAUGGCGAAGGCAGCCCCCUGGGUCAAGAUUGACGCUCAUGCACGAAAGCGUGGGGAGCAAACAGG
RNAcentral lists this ribosomal RNA (253 nucleotides) under uncultured bacterium. RNAcentral's name for it is "partial 16S ribosomal RNA". It matches the Rfam family "Bacterial small subunit ribosomal RNA", at positions 524 to 776 of the family's 1533-position model. The record is from RNAcentral.